This 280-nucleotide long non-coding RNA is filed under the name Medicago truncatula (barrel medic). RNAcentral's name for it is "long non-coding RNA (MTRU_LNC007992)". The record is from RNAcentral. Lineage: Eukaryota; Viridiplantae; Streptophyta; Magnoliopsida; Fabales; Fabaceae.
AAAAGGCUAUCAAAAACUUCAAAACAAGGAGUCACAGAGUUCAUGAAUGAAGUUGGAUUGGUAGCCAAGCUACAACACCGCAAUCUUGUGAGUGUUUUGGGUGGGUGCACUUAUGGAAAUGAAAGAAUGUUAGUCUAUGAAUACAUGCCUAAUGGUAGUUUGAACCACUUCAUUUUUGGUAAGACCACCAAUACAAAACUUGUAACACUUUGAGCCUUUUCUUCAUUUAGCUAACAUGUGCUGUAAUGGCUAAGUGAUCUAUCAUUAAUACAUUAUCCUU